RNAcentral lists this ribosomal RNA (394 nucleotides) under uncultured bacterium. Its description in RNAcentral is "bacterial SSU rRNA". It matches the Rfam family "Bacterial small subunit ribosomal RNA", at positions 460 to 852 of the family's 1533-position model. The record is from RNAcentral.
GUGCACGUCUUGACGGUACCUAAUCAGAAAGCCACGGCUAACUACGUGCCAGCAGCCGCGGUAAUACGUAGGUGGCAAGCGUUAUCCGGAAUUAUUGGGCGUAAAGCGCGCGUAGGCGGUUUUUUAAGUCUGAUGUGAAAGCCCACGGCUCAACCGUGGAGGGUCAUUGGAAACUGGAAAACUUGAGUGCAGAAGAGGAAAGUGGAAUUCCAUGUGUAGCGGUGAAAUGCGCAAAGAUAUGGAGGAACACCAGUGGCGAAGGCGACUUUCUGGUCUGUAACUGACGCUGAUGUGCGAAAGCGUGGGGAUCAAACAGGAUUAGAUACCCUGGUAGUCCACGCCGUAAACGAUGAGUGCUAAGUGUUAGGGGGUUUCCGCCCCUUAUUGCUGCAGC